CUGCUGCCUCCCGUAGGAGUCUGGGCCGUGUCUCAGUCCCAGUGUGGGGGGCCUUCCUCUCAGAACCCCUACGCAUCGUCGCCACGGUGGGCCGUCACCCCGCCGUCUAGCUAAUGCGCCGCAUGCCCAUCCGCCACCGGAUCGCUCCUUUGGCCACCGGAGGAUGCCCUCCGGUGGCGUCACGGGGUAUUAGGCCGCGUUUCCGCGGGUUAUCCCCCUGUGGCGGCCAGGUUGCAUACGUGUUACUCACCCGUGCGCCGGCCGCCGG
RNAcentral lists this ribosomal RNA (268 nucleotides) under uncultured bacterium. Its description in RNAcentral is "partial 16S ribosomal RNA". The record is from RNAcentral.